Molecule: long non-coding RNA, 953 nt
Organism: Alosa sapidissima (American shad)
Lineage: Eukaryota; Metazoa; Chordata; Actinopteri; Clupeiformes; Clupeidae
Exons: 3
Source: RefSeq, a predicted model, not a curated record
GUAAAUUCACCAGUGUCAAAUAUGCAGUGUAAAAGUACAUUUACUCUUUCCGAGCAAUUACAACAACACAUAGUGUAAGAUACUUUACAGUGUCAGUGAAAAAUCACUUAGUUGAAAGAUGUAGUGUCAGAAGUGCUCUGGAGAGCUCCGCCUACUUUUUUCUCAGUUUUCAAAUGAAGCAGAAGUUUUCCAGCGCCAUUUUUUCCACCUGCAAGGAUUUCGAUUUUGAAGUGCUUAACGUUACCAAUGCGACUUGAUGGCUAACAUUUGUUGAACGGUGCAACAGUCCACCACAGGAAAAUUAUCUAGAAGAGCUAAUACAAACACUGUGUGGGAGUGUUUUUCCCCCUAUAUUUGCAGGAUCGACAGACACAGAGGAGGUAUCAAGUCAGAACUGCAAAAGACACAGCGGCCGAGCCAGAGGUGGCCUACCCAGUCGGACACACAACCGGACACACAGCAGAGCAGUUCCAGGAUUUCGGCAUCCACGCAAAAGCUAUAUUCCGGGUGGCAGAUUUGGUCUGCACCCGGCAAUGUGAGUAGCUCCUUUUUUUGCUUCGAACAACAACGUGUAUUAGCAGUGGUAGUUUGCUCCGUACUGCCAAAAGUCUCCUUUGUUUCAGCUGAGCGAUUACAUCGCUGCUGGUGGUCGGGUGGAGAACUGAGUAGCCUACGAUCUGUGGAGGACUUACGGGAAGGUACCGAGCGAUUGGAACAUUUGUGGGUUGCCGUGCGGAUGACUGCUUGGCUAGGCUAGGCCGGAGAACACUGAAGCUACUAACUCGCCUGCUGCUUGCUUGCUCAUUUGUUUACUGCUGUGCUGUGCUGUGCUGUGCUGUGCUGUGCUGACUGGGGACUGCUGUGGGGCGUCUGGCGCUGCUGGUGGCGGUAUUACUGGCUGUAGUCUCUUGUUUUAUUACAGUGUUGUAUUGAUGUGCAUUUUAACUGUGGAU